UAACCUGCCCAAGAGAUCGGGAUAACACCUGGAAACAGAUGCUAAUACCGGAUAACAACAGAUGAUGCCUAUCAACUGUUUAAAAGAUGGUUCUGCUAUCACUCUUGGAUGGACCUGCGGUGCAUUAGCUAGUUGGUAGGGUAACGGCCUACCAAGGCGAUGGUGCAUAGCCGAGUUGAGAGACUGAUCGGCCACAUUGGGACUGAGACACGGCCCAAACUCCUACGGGAGGCAGCAGCU
This 240-nucleotide ribosomal RNA is filed under the name uncultured Lactobacillus sp. Its description in RNAcentral is "partial 16S ribosomal RNA". It matches the Rfam family "Bacterial small subunit ribosomal RNA", at positions 122 to 355 of the family's 1533-position model. The record is from RNAcentral. Lineage: Bacteria; Bacillati; Bacillota; Bacilli; Lactobacillales; Lactobacillaceae.